RNAcentral lists this ribosomal RNA (739 nucleotides) under uncultured Chloroflexota bacterium. RNAcentral describes it as "bacterial SSU rRNA". It matches the Rfam family "Bacterial small subunit ribosomal RNA", at positions 78 to 831 of the family's 1533-position model. Lineage: Bacteria; Bacillati; Chloroflexota. The record is from RNAcentral.
AGCAAUACGAAGUAUCCUAGUGGCGAACGGGUGAGUAACGCGUUGGUGACCUACCCCAAAGUGUGGGAUAACAAUCCGAAAGGAUUGCUAAUACCGCAUGUGGUCUCUGGAUUUAGAAACCGGUGACUAAAGGAGCAAUCCGCUUUGGGAGGGGCCUGCGUCCCAUCAGCUAGUUGGUAGGGUAAAAGCCUACCAAGGCAGAGACGGGUAGGGGACCUGAGAGGGUGACCCCCCACACUGGCACUGAAACACGGGCCAGACACCUACGGGUGGCAGCAGUAGGGAAUAUUGCACAAUGGGCGAAAGCCUGAUGCAGCAACGCCGCGUGCGCGAUGAAGGCCUUCGGGUCGUAAAGCGCUUUUUGGGGAGAUGAGGAAGGACAGUAUCCCCAGAAUAAGGCUCGGCUAACUACGUGCCAGCAGCCGCGGUAAAACGUAGGAGCCAAGCGUUAUCCGAAUUCACUGGGCGUAAAGCGUGUGCAGGCGGAUGGAUAAGUUGGAUGUGAAAUCUCCUGGCUCAACUGGGAGAGGCCGUACAAUACUGUCGAUCUAGAGGGCAACAGAGGGAGGUGGAAUUCCCGGUGUAGUGGUGAAAUGCGUAGAUAUCAGGAGGAACACCUGAGGUGUAGACGGCUAUCUGGACCGUAACUGACGCUGAGGCACGAAAGCGUGGGGAGCAAACAGGAUUAGAUACCCUGGUAGUCCACGCCCUAAACGAUGACAACUGGAUGUCGGGAGGG